This 1417-nucleotide ribosomal RNA is filed under the name Triticum aestivum (bread wheat). RNAcentral describes it as "partial small subunit ribosomal RNA". Lineage: Eukaryota; Viridiplantae; Streptophyta; Magnoliopsida; Poales; Poaceae. The record is from RNAcentral.
CCCUCCUCCCUGUAAACGGAAAACGGCCUACUCAGAAAUUCCCAGCAUCCCAAUCGUGUCCGCCUCCACUCCACUAGAUCACCGACCACCGUGGUCCUGCCCGCCCACAGAGCACACGGUACGCACUGCGCCGCCUAGGCCGAUACCAGAAGCCAUCUCCUGCUCCCCACGUCUCCACUCCGGCGAGAAAUGCGGCGCCCUUCGGUUCAAGAUGGGCUGACGCGGCAGCUCGGAUCGGUGGCAUCGACUCGGCAGUAAGACUGCCCGCGGAUUCGUCGGCGGGAGCCCGCGGAUUUCCAGCUUGUCGUUGUGCAGGCAGGUGGGGAAUUUUUUCUAACCUACUUUGGACUUUGAAGGGAAAACAGAAGAGGGGGUACCUGCUCAGCAGAAAGUGGUCGCAAGUAGGCAAACUGUAAAACAUGGGGAUGUGGCAUCUAUCCUAAGAUGGCCGUCAUCAUCUAAGAGUGAGGAUCAGGAGAAGGGCGUGACAAGAAGAUGCUGAAGAAACUGAUAUCGAAGACCAAGAGCAAGAAGAAGAAGGAGGCUGCCUCUUCUUCCCUCCCCACCUUGGAUCGACUACAUGAGACCCUAGAAAUGCUGGAGAAGAAAGAGCGUUUGCUUCAGAAAAAGUCUUCCGCGGAAAUAGAAAAGGCUAAGGACUAUACAAAGGCAAAGAAUAAGAAUGCUGCAAUUCAGUGUUUAAAGAAAAAGAAGUUGUAUGAGACACAGAUUGAGCAGCUAUCAAAUUUUCAGUUGCGAGUUCAUGAUCAGAUUAUAAUGCUUGAAAAUGCGAAGGCAACAACUGACACUGUUGAUGCUUUGCGCUCUGGGUCAUCUGCUGUCAAAGCUAUUCAACAGUCCCUGAGUAUUGAUGACAUUGAGAAUGCAAUCGAAGAGGCGAACGAGCAUACGGAAAAUAUGAAACAGAUACAGGAUGCACUUGCUACACCAUUCGGUGCUUCGGCUGAAUUCGACGAGGACGAGUUGGAGGCAGAACUGGAAGACCUCGAGGAGGAAGAACUGGACCUGGAGCUGCCUGAACCGCCGCGGGGGACACACGUGGCACCAUCAACGUCGGCUGCGACUUCUCGACCGGCGGCUAGCGAUUUCGCUGAACUGACCAAACUUCAAGCAGAGAUGGCGCUUUAGGGAUCUGCUAUAAAAAUACUGCGCGGCUAGCGAUUUCGCUGAGCUGACCAAACUUCGAGCAAAGUUGGCGCUUUAGGGAUCUGCUGUAAAAAUACUGCGGUUUGGAGGGAAUGCUGUCAUUGAAACCUCAGAGGCUCACUGCCAUCAUUGCGGCGUGCAUGUAAAAUUCAGGCUAUGUUGUAAGAGCAUCCACCCCUGUUAAUUUCCUGCAUGAUGUUUGGCCUCUAUCUGCGUGCAAUGUCCCCUACACGACCGUGGACACGCCCAG